Molecule: ribosomal RNA, 1253 nt
Filed under: uncultured Sebacina
Lineage: Eukaryota; Fungi; Basidiomycota; Agaricomycetes; Sebacinales; Sebacinaceae
Description: eukaryotic LSU rRNA
Rfam family: Eukaryotic large subunit ribosomal RNA (bases 577-1253)
Source: RNAcentral
UUCCGUAGGUGAACCUGCGGAAGGAUCAUUAAUGAAACUUCAAAGUCGGCCAAAGGUUGUUGCUGGUGAUUAUUCACAUGUGCACRCCUUUGGUCGCAAAUCCACACACACCUGUGCAUCUAUGACUCGAGGUUGUAAUGACUGAGAGUAACUUUUAUACACUCUUGUAUGUAAUGGAAUGUCUUUUUGUGCUAUAAUGUACAAUAUAAACAACUUUCAACAACGGAUCUCUUGGCUCUCGCAUCGAUGAAGAACGCAGCGAAAUGCGAUAAGUAAUGUGAAUUGCAGAAUUCAGUGAAUCAUCGAAUCUUUGAACGCACCUUGCACCCUUUGGUAUUCCGAAGGGUACGCCCGUUUGAGUGUCAUUGUAAUCUCACUUCUACAACUUUAUUGUUGUUUGAAUGUGGACUUGGAUGUUGCCGUUUUAUCACGGCUCGUCUUAAAUGCCUGAGUGUACCCUGUUUUGCAGCGUAUCCAGUGUAAUAAACAUUUCACUAGAGUUGGUUGAAAGACCACGUUGACUAUAUGGGCUCUAUGCUUCAAACCGUCUGCCAUGUGGACAAUUUCUUGACAAUUUGACCUCAAAUCGGGUGGGACUACCCGCUGAACUUAAGCAUAUCAAUAAGCGGAGGAAAAGAAACUAACAAGGAUUCCCCUAGUAACGGCGAGUGAAGAGGGAAAAGCUCAAAUUUUAAAUCUGGUGUCUUUGACUCCCGAGUUGUAAUCUAGAGAAGUGUUUUCCGUGUCGGACCGUGUACAAGUUCCCUGGAACGGGGCGUCAUAGAGGGUGAGAAUCCCGUAUAUGCCACGGACUACCGAUGCUCUGUGAUACACUCUCAACGAGUCGAGUUGUUUGGGAAUGCAGCUCAAAAUGGGUGGUAAAUUCCAUCUAAAGCUAAAUAUUGGYGAGAGACCGAUAGCGAACAAGUACCGUGAGGGAAAGAUGAAAAGCACUUUGGAAAGAGAGUGAAACAGUACGUGAAAUUGUUGAAAGGGAAGCGUUUGAAGUCAGUCGCAUCUGUUGGGGUUCAGCCUGGCUUUUGCCUGGUGUAUUUCCUUUCCGAUGGGUCAGCAUCAGUUUCGACCGAGGGAAAAAGACAUUUGGAAUGUGGCUGUCUUCGGGCAGUGUUAUAGCCUUGUGUUGUAUGUCUCGGUUGGGACUGAGGAUUGCAGCGCGCCAUAAAUGGCCGGGGGUCGCUCCUCUCGACACGCGCUUAGGAUGCUGGCAUAAUGGCUUUAAGCGACCCGUCUUG